UACGAGGGGGGCAAGCGUUGUUCGGAAUUAUUGGGCGGAAAGGGCGCGUAGGCGGUUUGACAAGUCUGAUGUGAAAUCUAUGGGCUCAACCCAUAGCCUGCAUUAGAAACUGUCGGGCUUGAGUAUGGGAGAGGUGAGUGGAAUUUCCGGUGUAGCGGUGAAAUGCGUAGAUAUCGGAAGGAACACCUGUGGCGAAAGCGGCUCACUGGACCAUAACUGACGCUGAGGCGCGAAAGCUAGGGGAGCAAACAGG
RNAcentral lists this ribosomal RNA (253 nucleotides) under uncultured bacterium. RNAcentral's name for it is "partial 16S ribosomal RNA". It matches the Rfam family "Bacterial small subunit ribosomal RNA", at positions 524 to 776 of the family's 1533-position model. The record is from RNAcentral.